AGCUCAGUGGUAGAGCAGCUGAUUCGUAAUCAGCAGGUCGAGGGUUCGACUCCACUUC
This 58-nucleotide transfer RNA is filed under the name bacterium. RNAcentral describes it as "tRNA-Thr". It matches the Rfam family "tRNA", at positions 9 to 63 of the family's 71-position model. Rfam says of the family: Transfer RNA (tRNA) molecules are approximately 80 nucleotides in length. Their secondary structure includes four short double-helical elements and three loops (D, anti-codon, and T loops). The record is from RNAcentral.